This 74-nucleotide transfer RNA is filed under the name Promethearchaeati archaeon. RNAcentral's name for it is "Asgard group archaeon (marine sediment metagenome) tRNA-Asp". It matches the Rfam family "tRNA". Rfam says of the family: Transfer RNA (tRNA) molecules are approximately 80 nucleotides in length. Their secondary structure includes four short double-helical elements and three loops (D, anti-codon, and T loops). Lineage: Archaea; Promethearchaeati. The record is from RNAcentral.
GCCCCGAUAGUGUAGUACGGCCAUCAUCUUCGGCUGUCAACCAAAAACGGGUUCAAAUCCCGUUCGGGGCGCCA